ACUCAAAGGAAUAGACGGGGACUCGCACAAGCAGUGGAUGAUGUUGUUCAAUUGGACGAUACGCCAAAAACCUUACCAAGGCUUGACAUGAAGUGGACCACUUUGGAAACAAAGUUUUCUCUCCGGAGACCGCUUACACAGGUGGUGCAUGGUUGUCGUCAGCUCGUGUCGUGAGAUGUUGGGUUAAGUCCCGCAACGAGCGCAACCCCUGCCUUUAGUUGCUACGAAAGAGCACUCUAAAGGGACCGCUUAUCUGACAAAGAUGGAGGAAGGUGGGGAUGACGCCAAAUCAUCAUGCCCCUUAUGCCUUGGGCUACAAACGUCAUACAAUGGCACUUAACAAAAAGAAGCAAUACAGCGAUGUGGAGCAAAUCUCCAAAAAGUGUCUCAGUUCGGAUCGUAGGCUGCAACUCGCCUGCGUGAAGUCGGAAUUGCUAGUAAUCGUGGAUCAGCAUGCCACGGUGAAUACGUUCCCGAGUCUUGUACACACCGCCCGU
Molecule: ribosomal RNA, 497 nt
Filed under: uncultured bacterium
Lineage: Bacteria
Description: bacterial SSU rRNA
Rfam family: Bacterial small subunit ribosomal RNA
Source: RNAcentral